Molecule: ribosomal RNA, 727 nt
Filed under: uncultured bacterium
Lineage: Bacteria
Description: bacterial SSU rRNA
Rfam family: Bacterial small subunit ribosomal RNA
Source: RNAcentral
CAUGCAAGUCGAGGGGCAGCGCGGGAUAGCAAUAUCCUGGCGGCGACCGGCGGAAGGGUGCGUAACGCGUGAGCGACAUGCCCGUUGCCCGGGGACAACCGGUGGAAACGCCGACUAAUCCCCGAUGGGAUAUUGUGCCGCAUGGCACGAUAUUGAAAGUUACGGCGGCGACGGAUUGGCUCGCGUCCGAUUAGCUUGUUGGCGGGGUAACGGCCCACCAAGGCUACGAUCGGUAGGGGUUCUGAGAGGAAGGCCCCCCACAAUGGGACUGAGACACGGCCCAUACUCCUACGGGAGGCAGCAGUGAGGAAUAUUGGUCAAUGGGCGGAAGCCUGAACCAGCCAUGCCGCGUGCGGGAAGGAGGCCCUAUGGGCUGUGAACCGCUUUUGCCUGGGGGCAAUAAGGGCGUCGCGCACGCCCGAUGAGAGUACCAGGCGAAUAAGCAUCGGCCAACUCCGUGCCAGCAGCCGCGGUAAUACGGGGGAUGCGAGCGUUAUCCGGAUUCAUUGGGUUUAAAGGGUGCGUAGGCUGUGCGUCAAGUCGGGGGUGAAAUUCCGGUGCUCAACACCGGGGCUGCCCUUGAUACUGUCGCGCUGGAGUGCGGAUGCCGCCGGAGGAAUGAGUGGUGUAGCGGUGAAAUGCUUAGAUAUCACUCAGAACACCGAUUGCGAAGGCAUCUGGCGAAUCCGUAACUGACGCUGAGGCACGAAAGCGUGGGGAUAGAACA